This 440-nucleotide ribosomal RNA is filed under the name uncultured bacterium. RNAcentral describes it as "partial 16S ribosomal RNA". It matches the Rfam family "Bacterial small subunit ribosomal RNA", at positions 338 to 795 of the family's 1533-position model. The record is from RNAcentral.
CCUACGUGAGGCAGCAGUGGGGGAUAUUGCACAAUGGGGGGAACCCUGAUGCAGCGACGCCGCGUGGGUGAAGAAGCGCCUCGGCGCGUAAAGCCCUGUCAGCAGGGAAGAACAUGACGGUACCUGAAGAGGAAGCCCCGGCUAACUCCGUGCCAGCAGCCGCGGUAAUACGUAGGGGGCAAGCGUUAUCCGGAGUUACUGGGUGGAAAGGGGGCGCAGACGGCGGUGCAAGCCAGGAGUGAAAGCCCGGGGCCCAACCCCGGGACUGCUCUUGGAACUGCGUGGCUGGAGUGCAGGAGGGGCAGGCGGAAUUCCUGGUGUAGCGGUGAAAUGCGUAGAUAUCAGGAGGAACACCGGUGGCGAAGGCGGCCUGCUGGACUGCAACUGACGUUGAGGCCCGAAAGCGUGGGGAGCAAACAGGAUUAGAUACCCUGGUAGUC